RNAcentral lists this ribosomal RNA (1315 nucleotides) under Salmonella enterica subsp. enterica serovar Enteritidis. Its description in RNAcentral is "partial 23S ribosomal RNA". It matches the Rfam family "Bacterial large subunit ribosomal RNA", at positions 1 to 1209 of the family's 2925-position model. The record is from RNAcentral. Lineage: Bacteria; Pseudomonadati; Pseudomonadota; Gammaproteobacteria; Enterobacterales; Enterobacteriaceae.
GGGUUGUGAGGUUAAGCGACUAAGCGUACACGGUGGAUGCCCUGGCAGUCAGAGGCGAUGAAGGGCGUGCUAAUCUGCGAUAAGCGCCGGUAAGGUGAUAUGAACCGUUAUAACCGGCGAUACCCGAAUGGGGAAACCCAGUGUGACUCGUCACACUAUCAUUAACUGAAUCCAUAGGUUAAUGAGGCGAACCGGGGGAACUGAAACAUCUAAGUACCCCGAGGAAAAGAAAUCAACCGAGAUUCCCCCAGUAGCGGCGAGCGAACGGGGAGGAGCCCAGAGCCUGAAUCAGCAUGUGUGUUAGUGGAAGCGUCUGGAAAGGCGCGCGAUACAGGGUGACAGCCCCGUACACAAAAGCGCAUGUGCUGUGAGCUCGAUGAGUAGGGCGGGACACGUGGUAUCCUGUCUGAAUAUGGGGGGACCAUCCUCCAAGGCUAAAUACUCCUGACUGACCGAUAGUGAACCAGUACCGUGAGGGAAAGGCGAAAAGAACCCCGGCGAGGGGAGUGAAAAAGAACCUGAAACCGUGUACGUACAAGCAGUGGGAGCCCCACCACCAAAGCAUUUGCUGUACCGCGUUGACGGAGCGAAGCGACGUCAAACCGAUAAAACAGCAGUGUAAAGUGAGCCGCAGGGCGCUUUGCGCGACAGCGCAAAGGCAGGCGGUUUCGCGUAGCGAAAGCGAAUGCUUUGGGGUGGGGUGACUGCGUACCUUUUGUAUAAUGGGUCAGCGACUUAUAUUCUGUAGCAAGGUUAACCGAAUAGGGGAGCCGGAGGGAAACCGAGUCUUAAUUGGGCGUUAAGUUGCAGGGUAUAGACCCGAAACCCGGUGAUCUAGCCAUGGGCAGGUUGAAGGUUGGGUAACACUAACUGGAGGACCGAACCGACUAAUGUUGAAAAAUUAGCGGAUGACCUGUGGCUGGGGGUGAAAGGCCAAUCAAACCGGGAGAUAGCUGGUUCUCCCCGAAAGCUAUUUAGGUAGCGCCUCGUGAAUUCAUCUCCGGGGGUAGAGCACUGUUUCGGCUAGGGGGCCAUCCCGGCUUACCAACCCGAUGCAAACUGCGAAUACCGGAGAAUGUUAUCACGGGAGACACACGGCGGGUGCUAACGUCCGUCGUGAAGAGGGAAACAACCCAGACCGCCAGCUAAGGUCCCAAAGUCAUGGUUAAGUGGGAAACGAUGUGGGAAGGCCCAGACAGCCAGGAUGUUGGCUUAGAAGCAGCCAUCAUUUAAAGAAAGCGUAAUAGCUCACUGGUCGAGUCGGCCUGCGCGGAAGAUGUAACGGGGCUAAACCAUGCACCGAAGCUGCGGCAGC